This 321-nucleotide long non-coding RNA is filed under the name Gallus gallus (chicken). RNAcentral describes it as "lncRNA (ENSGALG00010002009.1)". The record is from RNAcentral. Lineage: Eukaryota; Metazoa; Chordata; Aves; Galliformes; Phasianidae.
AAUCACUGCCCUGUACCCUGCUAAGCUGGUGGAGAGAUGAGCAAGUUGGUUUUCUUUGGACUACACACCUUUUCUGGGGGAAGGGAUUACACUUUUUCAUUGUUUUCCCUAGAGAAUGAAGAAUGGUGGAGAAGGAUCUGGUCAACCUGGGAGAGACCGACACAGCCUUUAUUUCUGCUUAUGUCUGAGGACAGAAUUCUCUGAACUGUAUUUCUAACAGAAUAUUCCACAUAUCUGAAGAUCAGUCUACCUCUAUUUAGGUAUAAUAUUAUUUACUACUUAACUAAGAACUAGGAAUGUCAGUUUUCAGUAGUACUCUGG